GGCGAUCGAGCUCACAGAAUUCGACAUCCACUAUCGACCCAGGCCAACAGUGAAAGUCCAGAUAUUGGCAGAUUUUAUAGUGGAGUGUACUAUCCCUGAGGAAGCCGAACCUGAACAAGGCGAACUUGUCGGCCUGAAGCCCCCACCGAGCUCCCCCAAAGAAGAGGCAGGUCCCUCUGACUACUCUUGGGCCCUCUGCGUGGAC
Molecule: long non-coding RNA, 205 nt
Filed under: Elaeis guineensis (African oil palm)
Lineage: Eukaryota; Viridiplantae; Streptophyta; Magnoliopsida; Arecales; Arecaceae
Description: long non-coding RNA (EGUI_LNC061798)
Source: RNAcentral